AGAGUUUGAUUCUGGCUCAGAACGAACGCUGGUGGCGUGCUUAUACAUGCAAGCGAGCGAGGCAGCAAUGCCGAGCGGCGAACGGGUGAGUAACGCGUAAGCAAUCUGCCCCAUAUCAGGAAAUACCCGUGCCAACGCGCGGUUAAUGUCCAGGAGAGUGGCCAGCUGCAUGGCUGGUUGACUAGAGAUUUAUCGGUAUGGGAUGAGCUUGCGUCCGAUUAGCUAGUUGGCGGGGCAACGGCCCACCAAGGCGACGAUCGGUAGCCGGCCUGAGAGGGUGAUCGGCCACAUUGGGACUGAGAUACGGCCCAGACUCCUACGGGAGGCAGCAGUAGGGAAUAUUGCACAAUGGGGGAAACCCUGAUGCAGCAACGCCGCGUGUGGGAAGAAGCAUUUCGGUGUGUAAACCACUGUCAUGAGGGAAUAAGGCCCGCCUUCGGACGGGAUUGAAUGUACCUUGAGAGGAAGCACCGGCAAACUUCGUGCCAGCCGCCGC
RNAcentral lists this ribosomal RNA (496 nucleotides) under uncultured bacterium. RNAcentral describes it as "bacterial SSU rRNA". It matches the Rfam family "Bacterial small subunit ribosomal RNA", at positions 8 to 518 of the family's 1533-position model. The record is from RNAcentral.